AUUUGUCAGAGAGGUACCCCUGCCAAGUAAAGUAAUAAAAAAAAAUAUUUUGUUUUGCCUGUAGGACUAUGCCUGCAAUACUAAUUACAUCUAUAUGCAAGACGAGUAAUUCAGAGGAAAGUAUACUAUCGAUCGAUGCACGAAUGGAAUAACGGGCGGGCAGAGUAAAGCUCAGUGAAACCAGUAAACCACCUUAGUGGCGUGAUAUUCCAGUCUUAAGUUGUCAGCAAAUAAAAUGUCUGCAGAACACCCACCAAGAUAUUCUACCUAGUAUCGAGCACGACCACUGGCGGAAGUGCGAAAGUGCAGUAGCGCAUUUGGUAAUAUUGAAAAAUAAAUCAUUCAUGAUCUUAUUGAUGUUUACAAGGAGCACUUCCUGUGAAGCUGUAAAACGAGUCAGAAAGGUUUUCAAUCUCUACAUGUAGCUCACAAGAAUGAUUUUUCUACAUUCUCUUAUUACAAAAAACCGUUGGCAUAGAGAAUAGGCCUACAUACAGGAAACAAAGCAGAGGUUCCUCUUUUGUUGAAUCUACUGGUACACCUUUCAAUCUUCAAUAUUCAUUAAUAAAUUUUAAGACACUCCAUUACAAGACUUUAUUGACCAUCCAUCACAUCUCACAGCUAAACAUAUGAUUUCGAAGAUACAGUUAUAAAAUGCAGUCAAUCUGUGAUAACAUUAGUGUAGACACAGACCUACCAUUUGUAAUGACUAAAAUAGAACAAGCACAGUCAGUUUCAAAACCUGUUAAACCAAUUGAUGUGGAACCUGGACUUGGAUUUGUUCAGAAUGCAGGGCAAGAUCACCUACAAAACAACACAAGGAACAGGAAUUCUAAGGAAUCACCCAUCGGUGAAAAGCAGAAAAUAGUAACUGGUCAAAUACCCCAGAUAUCAUCUCAAACGUCUUUACCACAAAAAAAUCAAGUUCAUGUCAUACAAGAAAAUGAUGUCUUAGGAAAACUUGCCGCUGCACUAGAAACAAUAAAACUUCAGAAUGAAAUAAUUGAAAAACUUAAACAGGAAAGUGGGAUUGCCAGCGAUAUACAUGUACAGACUGAAGAAGUGGUUGAGGAGACUGAUCUGAAAGCUGUUGCCAAAACUGGUGAGAUUUGUACUGAUGAAUAUCAAAUAGUUGAUAUAAUCCCUCUGAUAGAGCAAAAAGGAACAAUGGCACCAUGGGAUCAUUCAAGGAUACGGAGUAAUAUGGAACUUCUCAUAGAAGAAUUAGAUCCAGAUGUUUUAAAAACGCCUCUGUAUUCUAAAUAUGUUCUUGAUAUUGACAAUGUUGACGAAAUAGAUGUUUUACCAACUAGGCGUAAGAAGAAUGAAAAGAUGCUUUAUAUGUUGAUGAGAAGAGGAAACAAGGCAUAUAAAAUAUUCUUAAAGAUUUUAGAGACAUAUGGAUAUAGACAUGUUAUAAAACAACUUGAACCAGAGAGUGAGGAAUAUAAAGGCACCAUAAAAUACCCUGGACAUGAAUUAGUUGAAAUUAUGGAUUACACUAGUCCCAAGCAUAAAGAAUUUAUUGAAAUGAUUGAAUGUGAUAUAGAGUUACAGUAUCCAGAAUCUACUGAAAUAGUUGUAGUUAAAAAGCUAACGAAGGGCUGUGUUGAAGUCACAUUUCAUCUGAUAUCUGUUGGUAAAAAAAGUGAACAUGAACUGCGUCAAAUUUUAGAAACAGCUGUGAAUUCCGGGAAAAUUGGUGAUAACAAAGUUUCACCUGAAGGAUUUUCAUUUGAAAAACUUACAGAAGAUGAGGAAAUCCCGUUGCCUGGAAGCAGCAUUAUUGACCAUGAAAAUGAAAUCAAAUCCUUGAAAUUACAAAUAAAAGAACUGCAGAUUGAAAAUUGUGCAUUAAAGGCCACAUCUGUACACUCUCAUGAAAUGGAGAAAUACAAGGAACAUGAAGCUAAAAAAUAUUCAGACAUCCUUAAAGAGAAGGAACAGAUUAUUUCUAGUUUGCAAGAACAGCUUGAUCAGCAGAAAACAGACAAAGAACAACUUGAUCAGCGGAAAACAGAUGAAAAACAACUUGAUCAGCAGAAAACAGAUGGAAAACAGCUUGAUCAGCAGAAAACAGACAAAGAACAACUUGAUCAGCAGAAAACAGAUGAUAAAGACACCUUGGAGAAAGAAGCCGGUAGUAUUAAAAAAAGUGCAGAAAAACAGGAAUCUCUACCAAUUUUGACCCGUAUACCAGAUCUUACAGAGCAAAAAGGAACAAUGGCACCAUGGGAUCCUUCAAGGAUAACGAGUAAUUGGAUACUUCUCAUAGAAGAAUUAGAUCCCGAUGUUUUAAUAGAUCCUCUGCUUUCUGAAUAUGUGCUUAAUAUUGACGAUGUUGAAAAAAUAGAAGCUUUAUCAACUAAGCGUAAGAAGAUUAAAAAGAUGUUCAAAAUGUUAAUGAAAAGAGGACAUGAGUCAUAUAAAACAUUCUUAAAUGUUUUAAAGACACAUUGAUAUGAAGAUAUUGUACAAAGACUUGAACCAGAGAGUGGUAGUAUUAAAAAAAGUGCAGAAAAACAGGAAUCUCUACCAAUUUUGACCCGUAUACCAGAUCUUACAGUUGAAGAAAAUCGGUGUACAGUGACUAUAAAACUUCAUAUAAAAGAUCUGAAACUGGAGUUAUUUAAGAAGGUACCAGAAAAUGCUGCAGUUGAAUAUUCAUUUAGUGAAAGUGGUUUUGAAGUUACAUGUGAUGUACAGAAUAAAGAUAAAACGGUGACAAAAUAUAAAAAAUUUAUUCAAAAGUUACCUAGUCCUAUUGAUCCAGAAAAAUGUUAUGUUAAGUUUGCAAACGAACAAAUAAUUUUAAUUCUUCAAAAGGCAAAGGAAUGUUCCUGGGAAGUUGAAAUAUUUGAAAAUAUGUUGGAACAAGACAUUGGGAUGGAUUGAAGUCAAGAACUAAAUCUUCUGUACCUGCUGCUCCCAAAUCAUGAAAUUAUUAAACACUAAGAACCAGACCACCCUCUUUACAUAGCACUUCAAGGCUACUUAUACUAAAUAGUCUGGUUUACAAUGGGAGUAGUAAUAUUUAUACUGUAUCUUUUACUAUCAAUCAUUCUAAAAAUUACUUGCAAUAUAAAACCAUGCUAUCUUUGUGUAAUCUAAUUAAAAUACAGAUCAAUAUUUCGUUUUGUAUUUGUUUUUUUAUACUUUCAAUGGCUGUCCUCCACUAUGUGAAGAUCUGACUGGUUGUAAUGGGAGGUCAUGUCAGGGUUCAUAUGAGAAGCUUUUGACCCUAUGACAUCAAACAUUUGAUUAACUAAUCAGCGUUGAUGUUUCUAGUGGGAUUCAGGGGUUUGGAUAACCGAAUAGUUAGCAUGACCUAGUUUUUUUUGUCGAGUGGACGUUAAACCCCAUUUCUCUCUCUCUCAUUAGUGGGAUUCCCAUAGUUCCAUGUAGUGCACGCCAAGACCUCAUCGCAACCAUAGGGCAGGGGGGGCAUUUGCCCCCCCAAAAAUUUAUUUUCGGGCAAUGAAAAAUUCGACGACCUUUUUUUUCUAUUAACAUUUAGAGAAAAAAAAUAAUUAACUUAUUUCUAUGAGAUCCACACUGCCCGAAAAGUAUUUUCUCGUCUUUUUCUUGUCCACUGCAUGCCCGAAGCUCUCUUAUGAUAUGUAUGCCCGAAAAAACGGUAUUGAUUUCGGGCAAUUUUCUCUUAUGCCCCCCUGAAUUACUUUGAGCUCAUACGCCUAUGAUCGCAACAGACCUUUUAUAACAAUUCUUCUAGAUCCUGUAGUAAAGACAUUUAAAACAAGAGAGAGAGAAAUGGGGUUUAAAGUCCACUCAACACAAACUAGGUCAUUUCGGGACUAACACAUGGUUCAAUUUUAUUUCAAUAAUUCGCUUGCGCGUAGGGGUCUUUAGCUGUGGGAGAAAACCGGAGGACCCAGAGAAAACCCACGAGAUUGGACAGGCGACCCUACUCCUUGUCACGUACAACCGGGGACAUUUAAAACAAAAUUGUGAACUUUAAAAAACGAAACGAAAUAAAAUCUGUGUUUUAAUCAGAUUAUAUCUUUGUUGAACUGUAAAAGCUUUAUUAUUGUACAUUAACAUAUUUGAAGGAGUUAUUCCAGAUACUUUUUUGUGAAUCAAACUGAUUAUUAGUGAUGAACACUGGUCCUGUACAAGCAUCAAAAGCUCCAUGGUGGUUUUUACACAAAUUCAAUUAUCAGUUUCGAUAUUCAGCCUGGAUAGAAAUCUCUAUACAUACGUACUUGCUUAAACUAUAGUGAUCGUCAUGGUUAUCAAGUCACUGGUACAACUGAAGUAUGGAUUUGUUUAAGUAACUCCAUCUAGGGUUUACUUCCGAAUGACACUAUUUUGAGCUAAAACUUUAAAAAAUGCACCAAAAUCAAUAGUUGUCCUUAGGUUAUUAGGAAUACAUAUGACAAGUUCAGAUGAUUGGGGGUUUGGAUGGCCGAUUGGUUAGCAUGUGCACGCUGUAUCAUAAGGUCUGUCAUUGAGUCACCGGGCGUGACCCAGGGAUACCAUUUGUAGAUGCUGAUAUGAAAAAUCACAACCAGCUUGAAACAUCAAUAUACAGGAAGCCAAUGUACAUCAACCAGUACAUCUAUUACAACUCAAACCAUAACCUCAAGAUUAAAGAAGCCAUCAUCUCAAUAUUAAUAAACCGUGCAACAUACAUCUGUCACCCAGUUUAUCUACAAAUACCCACAACAACUAGUGAAAAGAGUAAUCCAAUCAGUUAUCCAUCAAACCAAACCACCAACAAAUAAAAACUUAAAUAUGUGUUACCAUACCAUUUAUAGGCAAAACAUCCUACCAUAUCCGACGAGUCCCGAGACAAGCUUGAAUAGAAACUAGUUUUAAAUACGAAGAAACACUGAAGGUAAUCUUGGAAAAUCGGCAUAAAAUAAUCCAAACGAUGUGUAUACUAAAUAACUUGUUCCUGUUCAUCAAUUUCCAUGGGAGAAACUAAAAGGCCUUUGUAGAUAAAAGCAUUAAAGAACAUCAAGCGAAUUCAUCUAACAAUAUAUCUGCCGUGGCUCAACACCUCAGAGAAAAUCUGUGCCAUAAAGUAUGUUGGGAUAGUGUGAAAAUCUUAGUCUGCAACAUACGCAACAAAAACGUACACAAAUUUUCAGAAGCAGUGCUCAUCAAGAAACACCAGCUCAAAUUAAACCAUGACAAUGGACUUCAAAUUCAUAGAGCCUAUGACAUUUUAAUUCAUUAAUAUUGUGCUUUAAUGGACUCAUAAAAUUUUAGUCACAAUAAUGCUGCAAACUUUCUUUUCAUUUCCUACUAUUAAUCAUUUACAACACCUUAA
Patella vulgata (common limpet) is the source of this 5296-nucleotide RNA transcript. RefSeq lists it as uncharacterized. NCBI's taxonomy places the organism in Eukaryota, Metazoa, Mollusca, Gastropoda, Patellidae. The record is from RefSeq and is a predicted model, not a curated record. The transcript has 12 exons.